RNAcentral lists this long non-coding RNA (710 nucleotides) under Lepisosteus oculatus (spotted gar). RNAcentral's name for it is "lncRNA (ENSLOCG00000022037.1)". The record is from RNAcentral. Lineage: Eukaryota; Metazoa; Chordata; Actinopteri; Semionotiformes; Lepisosteidae.
GCCGAAACGCUGUGUCUCUUUUCUUUUCAGCCUGGAAUAAACCUCACCUGUUCGUUCAGUGUGAUGAGCUGCCCGGCCGGCCGGCCUCUAGCUCAUUGCCGUCGGCUUCCCCUGUCCCACACUUCCCACGUUCACUCUCCUCCGGGCUCUGAGCUCGGGGUGCCGAGGGGCCGUGGCGCUCCUAUCUGGCGGAGAAGAAAGGGCGACCUUCCUCUCAGAGGGUGAACUCGCCCGGAUAGGGAGCUCCACCGGCUCCCCAAGGACACCUUGACGAAUGCCAAGGCCGACAGACCUGUGGCUUAGACACACGGGUGCCUUCUGCUGUCUUUAGACCAGUUCGACCUCGACCUGUCCCGGAAACAGACCCACAGCAGCCAGGACCUCGGCUCUCGUCACCCACGGGCGUGCACGGACACGCGCGAAUCUUGCCGGCUAUUCCUUAUGCACGGAGAGGGGGGGUCGUGUGCGGUACCGAAUGGACAACUGCGGAUUAAUCUGUUCAUCUCACUGUCUUGUGCUGUCCUGACGUAUGAUGGUGCCGAUGGGAAGAGUCAGAGCGGAUUCAUUGCAGCCCGUUCCAGGCCUGAGGUGACCGAACGUUGGGAUGAAAAGCUCGCCUUCGGAAAGUCUCAGCACAUCACCUGCAUGCCAACAGAAACACCCUCUAUAAACAUGCAGUGAGCAAGGACAUAUCUGAGGAGCACACUCCA